CGAUGAAUUAGCCGAGGGCGGCCGUACCUCGGCAGGACGGAUGUGGCGGCGCUUCGGCGCGCCGUUCGUCGU
This 72-nucleotide transfer RNA is filed under the name Silvibacterium dinghuense. Its description in RNAcentral is "tRNA-Pro". The record is from RNAcentral. Lineage: Bacteria; Pseudomonadati; Acidobacteriota; Terriglobia; Terriglobales; Acidobacteriaceae.